This 198-nucleotide unclassified non-coding RNA is filed under the name uncultured Tomentella. Its description in RNAcentral is "sequence contains ITS1". The record is from RNAcentral. Lineage: Eukaryota; Fungi; Basidiomycota; Agaricomycetes; Thelephorales; Thelephoraceae.
CUGAACUGUUGACACGAGUUGUUGCUGGUCCUCGAAAGGGGGCAUGUGCACGCUCUGUUUACACAUCCACUCACACCUGUGCACCCUCUGUAGUUCUGUGGUAUUGGGACUCUGUCCUCUUGCCGUGGCCCUACGUCUUCACACACACACCGUAAUACAGUCUCAUGGAAUGUAUGUCGUGUUUAACGCAAUACAAUA